Molecule: ribosomal RNA, 301 nt
Filed under: uncultured bacterium
Lineage: Bacteria
Description: partial 16S ribosomal RNA
Rfam family: Bacterial small subunit ribosomal RNA
Source: RNAcentral
CAGCAGCCGCGGGAAUACGAAGGGGGCUAGCGUUGCUCGGAAUUACUGGGCGUAAAGCGUGCGUAGGUGGUGGUUUAAGUCCGUUGUGAAAGCCCUGGGCUCAACCUGGGAAUUGCAGUGGAUACUGGGUCACUAGAGUGUGGUAGAGGAUAGUGGAAUUUCCGGUGUAGCAGUGAAAUGCGUAGAGAUCGGAAGGAACAUCUGUGGCGAAGGCGACUAUCUGGGCCAACACUGACACUGAGGCACGAAAGCGUGGGGAGCAAACAGGAUUAGAUACCCCCGUAGUCCCUGUCUCUUAUAC